CCAGCCGCCGCGGUAAUACGUAGGGUGCAAGCGUUAAUCGGAAUUACUGGGCGUAAAGCGUGCGCAGGCGGUUUGUUAAGACAGAUGUGAAAUCCCCGGGCUCAACCUGAGAACUGCAUUUGUGACUGGCAAGCUAGAGUAUGGCAGAGGGGGGUGGAAUUCCGCGUGUAGCAGUGAAAUGCGUAGAUAUGCGGAGGAACACCGAUGGCGAAGGCAGCCCCCUGGGCCAAUACUGACGCUCAUGCACGAAAGCUAGGGGAGCAAACAGGAUUAGAUACCCGAGUAGUCCCUGUCUCUUAUU
This 301-nucleotide ribosomal RNA is filed under the name uncultured bacterium. Its description in RNAcentral is "partial 16S ribosomal RNA". It matches the Rfam family "Bacterial small subunit ribosomal RNA", at positions 508 to 808 of the family's 1533-position model. The record is from RNAcentral.